Molecule: long non-coding RNA, 255 nt
Organism: Xiphophorus couchianus (Monterrey platyfish)
Lineage: Eukaryota; Metazoa; Chordata; Actinopteri; Cyprinodontiformes; Poeciliidae
Exons: 3
Source: RefSeq, a predicted model, not a curated record
GGCUUGGUCAACAGCUCUCUGAUAGAGAUCAUUUAUAUGUGAUUUGUUAAAAAGUUUAGAGAAAAAUGAUGGUUGAUUUUCUUCCAUCAGAUUGACACCAGAGUUGAUGAAGGUCAGAUGAACAUAAAGAGCAGCCAGAAACUCCUGAACACUCAGAUGGACGAAGCAGAACACCUUGUCCUGAUGGUCAGCCAGCUUUUCCUGCUUCAUCCUCCUCAGGAAGUUCAGUGUGAUCUUCAUCAGUGCCUCUCUGCU